Molecule: small RNA, 99 nt
Filed under: Enterobacter cloacae
Lineage: Bacteria; Pseudomonadati; Pseudomonadota; Gammaproteobacteria; Enterobacterales; Enterobacteriaceae
Also listed under: 2 other names
Description: Salmonella enterica Typhi npcRNA 44
Rfam family: Salmonella enterica Typhi npcRNA 44
Source: RNAcentral
CUUUAAAAAUCUGGAUCAAGCUGAAAAUUGAAACGACACAUCUUUAAUGGUGUGUUCGAGUCUCUCAAAUUUUCGCAAUCAGAAGUGAAACAUCUUCGG